This 507-nucleotide ribosomal RNA is filed under the name uncultured bacterium. RNAcentral's name for it is "bacterial SSU rRNA". It matches the Rfam family "Bacterial small subunit ribosomal RNA", at positions 283 to 806 of the family's 1533-position model. The record is from RNAcentral.
GUAGCCGGGUUGAGAGACCGACCGGCCAGAUUGGGACUGAGACACGGCCCAGACUCCUACGGGAGGCAGCAGUGGGGAAUCUUGCGCAAUGGGGGGAACCCUGACGCAGCGACGCCGCGUGCGGGACGGAGGCCUUCGGGUCGUAAACCGCUUUCAGCAGGGAAGAGUCAAGACUGUACCUGCAGAAGAAGCCCCGGCUAACUACGUGCCAGCAGCCGCGGUAAUACGUAGGGGGCGAGCGUUAUCCGGAUUCAUUGGGCGUAAAGCGCGCGUAGGCGGCCCGGCAGGCCGGGGGUCGAAGCGGGGGGCUCAACCCCCCGAAGCCCCCGGAACCUCCGCGGCUUGGGUCCGGUAGGGGAGGGUGGAACACCCGGUGUAGCGGUGGAAUGCGCAGAUAUCGGGUGGAACACCGGUGGCGAAGGCGGCCCUCUGGGCCGAGACCGACGCUGAGGCGCGAAAGCUGGGGGAGCGAACAGGAUUAGAUACCCUGGUAGUCCCAGCCGUAAA